RNAcentral lists this long non-coding RNA (555 nucleotides) under Olea europaea subsp. europaea. The record is from RNAcentral. Lineage: Eukaryota; Viridiplantae; Streptophyta; Magnoliopsida; Lamiales; Oleaceae.
GGUAAAUAAGAAUUAAUUGCUAAUACAUAAACUAAACACUCAUUUAAAAUUCCUAGAAACAAAAAUAGAACUAGAUUCAUCUACAAUAACUCUAAUGCAUGAUCCAUAUUCAUCACAUCAAGAUUCAUCAAGUCUAGACUAAUAUUCUAACAUCCUUCCUUAAUCUAGACUCGAAUUACACUUUUAUAGCUCUGACUCAAUUUGGACUAUAUCCAGCAAUCUAGCCUCAUCUAAACCCUCGUCCCUUCAUCUUUCUCUUUCCCACCAUUGCCUAGCUCGUCAUCACAAUGGAAUUGUUAACCGCCACGGUUGUUGGUGUUGGGAAUCUACAUAUCAUUCGCAGCUAAAAAUAAAACAGACUUCAAUUCCCGUCGAGAAUCUCUUUGUGUUUAGAUAGAAAUUGUGAUAGAAGUUGUACCUUUUCCGUAUCUGCAAACUCCUUUGUUUUUCUAUUAUUCCAGCAACCUUGAUUUGUCACCCACAGCUAUCUAAUUGUCCAACUUCUAAUAGAAUUCCACACAGAAAACAAGAUUGUAGAGAGAUCCAGGAUUUAAU